GGUGAUCCUGUGUUGAGUAGGCUUUAUAGUCAGUAGUGGGAGAGGUGAUCCUGUGUUGAGUAGGCUUUAUAGUCAGUAGGGGGAGAGGUGGUCCUGUGUUGAGUAGGCUUUAUAGUCAGUAGUGGGAGAGGUGAUCCUGUGUUGAGUAGGCUUUAUAGUCAGUAGGGGGAGAGGUGGUCCUGUGUUGAGUAGGCUUUAUAGUCAGUAAGGGGAGAGGUGAUCCUGCGUUCAGCAGCUCAGUAGUCUGGUGUUAUGGGAGCACCAGCAUCACAGAGAAGCUGAACGCUUUCUUUAUUAGUCUGUGGUUAUAGACCAGUCUACACAGCAGCCAGACAGCCACUGGGACGUGUAGUGUAGUAGGCAACCUGGAAGAGUGUCUAUUUAAUAUCCAGUCACUGCCACACCGCUUCCUCUGUAGACCUUAGAAAGC
This is a long non-coding RNA of Oncorhynchus tshawytscha (Chinook salmon), 430 nucleotides long. Lineage: Eukaryota; Metazoa; Chordata; Actinopteri; Salmoniformes; Salmonidae. The record is from Ensembl.